AGAGAACGCUGGCGGUAGGCCUAACACAUGCAAGUCGAACGGCAGCACAGUAAGAGCUUGCUCUUACGGGUGGCGAGUGGCGGACGGGUGAGGAAUACAUCGGAAUCUACUUUUUCGUGGGGGAUAACGUAGGGAAACUUACGCUAAUACCGCAUACGACCUACGGGUGAAAGCAGGGGAUCUUCGGACCUUGCGCGAUUGAAUGAGCCGAUGUCGGAUUAGCUAGUUGGCGGGGUAAAGGCCCACCAAGGCGACGAUCCGUAGCUGGUCUGAGAGGAUGAUCAGCCACACUGGAACUGAGACACGGUCCAGACUCCUACGGGAGGCAGCAGUGGGGAAUAUUGGACAAUGGGCGCAAGCCUGAUCCAGCCAUACCGCGUGGGUGAAGAAGACCUUCGGGUUGUAAAGCCCUUUUGUUGGGAAAGAAAAGCAGCAGGUUAAUACCCCGCUGUUCUGACGGUACCCAAAGAAUAAGCACCGGCUAACUUCGUG
RNAcentral lists this ribosomal RNA (492 nucleotides) under uncultured bacterium. RNAcentral describes it as "partial 16S ribosomal RNA". It matches the Rfam family "Bacterial small subunit ribosomal RNA", at positions 31 to 507 of the family's 1533-position model. The record is from RNAcentral.